CUACGGGUGGCAGCAGUGGGGAAUUUUGGACAAUGGGGGCAACCCUGAUCCAGCAAUGCCGCGUGAGUGAAGAAGGCCUUCGGGUUGUAAACCUCUUUCAGGAGGGACGAAAAUGACGGUACCUCCAGAAGAAGCCCCGGCCAACUACGUGCCAGCAGCCGCGGUAAUACGUAGGGGGCGAGCGUUGUCCGGAAUCAUUGGGCGUAAAGAGCUCGUAGGCGGCUCAGUAAGUCGAUCGUGAAAGACCGGGGCUCAACCCCGGGAGGUCGGUCGAUACUGCUGUGGCUUGAGUCCGGUAGAGGAAGGUGGAAUUCCCGGUGUAGCGGUGAAAUGCGCAGAUAUCGGGAGGAACACCAGUAGCGAAGGCGGCCUUCUGGGCCGGCACUGACGCUGAGGAGCGAAAGCGUGGGUAGCAAACAGGAUUAGAUACCCUCGUAGUC
Molecule: ribosomal RNA, 440 nt
Filed under: uncultured bacterium
Lineage: Bacteria
Description: partial 16S ribosomal RNA
Rfam family: Bacterial small subunit ribosomal RNA
Source: RNAcentral